CCCAACUACUACACAGGAAAUCAAUGCAAAACCACGAGGCACAGGGCAAAAUAGCCAAAAUAAAAGGAGAAUCAAGAAACCCAAAAACUCUAGAUCCCAAUACAGAGAUAAUUAAAUAGCGUCCCUCCACAACUCGAUGUCAGCAUUAAUCUGUUUAAUCAAGAACCCCAACAUUAAGUCUUUACCAAGCUUUAACAUUUAAUGAGCUUCCUCACUAACAUUGAAAGGAACAUCUCCAUAACUCUUUUUAGGAUUGGAGCGCCGAAUGCUAGAAUUGACAUGAUUUAUAUCACUAUCUGAAGGAGAGCAAGGGGAAACCUGGCUUGAGCUCUUUGAGCGAUCUGGAGAU
RNAcentral lists this unclassified non-coding RNA (349 nucleotides) under Hevea brasiliensis (rubber tree). The record is from RNAcentral. Lineage: Eukaryota; Viridiplantae; Streptophyta; Magnoliopsida; Malpighiales; Euphorbiaceae.